AUUGAACGCUGGCGGCAGGCCUAACACAUGCAAGUCGAGCGGUUGAAGGGAGCUUGCUCCUUGAUUCAGCGGCGGACGGGUGAGUAAUGCCUAGGAAUCUGCCUAGAAGUGGGUGAUAACGUCCAGACACGGGCGCUAAUACCGCAUACGUCCUGAGGUAGAAAGUGAGGGAUCUUCGACCCUCACCAUAUCAAAUGAGCCUAGGUCGGAUUAGCUAGUUGGCGGGGUAAAGUCGUAACAAGGCGACGAUCCGUAAGUGGUAUGAGAGGAUGAUCAGUCACACUGGAAGUGAGACAGGGUCGAGACUCCUAAGGGAGGAAGCAGUGGGGACUAUUGGACGAUGGGGGAAAGCCUGAUCCAGCCAUGCCGAGUGUGUGCAGAAGGUCUUCGGAUUGUAAAGCACUUUAAGUUGGGAGGAAGGGAAGUAAGUUAAUACCUUGCUGUUUUGACGUUACCAACAGAAUAAGCACCGGCUAACUUCGUG
Molecule: ribosomal RNA, 484 nt
Filed under: uncultured bacterium
Lineage: Bacteria
Description: partial 16S ribosomal RNA
Rfam family: Bacterial small subunit ribosomal RNA
Source: RNAcentral